Molecule: small nuclear RNA, 118 nt
Organism: Balaenoptera musculus (blue whale)
Lineage: Eukaryota; Metazoa; Chordata; Mammalia; Artiodactyla; Balaenopteridae
Source: Ensembl
GUCUUGUAUGAAAGAGAGAAGAUAUGCAUUCCUUUUGACAAGAUUGGAGGAGGCCUGGACAACACGCAUAUAGUUAAGGCAUUGCCACCUACUUGAUGGCAUCUGAACAUGGUUCUGA